This 380-nucleotide ribosomal RNA is filed under the name uncultured bacterium. RNAcentral's name for it is "bacterial SSU rRNA". It matches the Rfam family "Bacterial small subunit ribosomal RNA", at positions 28 to 410 of the family's 1533-position model. The record is from RNAcentral.
GACGAACGCUGGCGGCGUGCUUAACACAUGCAAGUCGAGCGGUAAGGCCCUUUCGGGGGUACACGAGCGGCGAACGGGUGAGUAACACGUGGGUGACCUGCCCUCAGCUCUGGGAUAAGCCUGGGAAACCGGGUCUAAUACCGGAUAUGACUCCAUGACGCAUGUUGUGGGGUGGAAAGCCUUGUGCGGCUGAGGAUGGGCCCGCGGCCUAUCAGCUUGUUGGUGGGGUGAUGGCCUACCAAGGCGACGACGGUAGCCGGCCUGAGAGGGCGACCGGCCACACUGGGACUGAGACACGGCCCAGACUCCUACGGGAGGCAGCAGUGGGGAAUCUUGCGCAAUGGGCGAAAGCCUGACGCAGCGACGCCGCGUGAGGGAUG